GCUGGGUAUGGUGGCAUGUGCCUGUAAUCCCAGGGGCUCGAGGGGCUGAGGCAGGAGGAUUGCGAGUUCAAAGCUAGCCUUAGCAACUUAGUGAGACCCUGUCUCAA
RNAcentral lists this small RNA (107 nucleotides) under Marmota monax (woodchuck). Lineage: Eukaryota; Metazoa; Chordata; Mammalia; Rodentia; Sciuridae. The record is from RNAcentral.